GAUGAACGCUGGCGGCGUGCCUAAUACAUGCAAGUCGAGCGAACAGAUGAGGAGCUUGCUCCUCUGACGUUAGCGGCGGACGGGUGAGUAACACGUGGAUAACCUACCUAUAAGACUGGGAUAACUUCGGGAAACCGGAGCUAAUACCGGAUAAUAUAUUGAACCGCAUGGUUCAAUAGUGAAAGACGGUUUUGCUGUCACUUAUAGAUGGAUCCGCGCCGCAUUAGCUAGUUGGUAAGGUAACGGCCUACCAAGGCAACGAUGCGUAGCCGACCUGAGAGGGUGAUCGGCCACACUGGAACUGAGACACGGUCCAGACUCCUACGGGAGGCAGCAGUAGGGAAUCUGCCGCAAUGGGCGAAAGCCUGACGGAGCAACGCCGCGUGAGUGAUGAAGGUCUUCGGAUCGUAAAACUCUGUUAUUAGGGAAGAACAAAUGUGUAAGUAACUAUGCACGUCUUGACGGUACCUAAUCAGAAAGCCACGGCUAACUACG
Molecule: ribosomal RNA, 495 nt
Filed under: uncultured bacterium
Lineage: Bacteria
Description: partial 16S ribosomal RNA
Rfam family: Bacterial small subunit ribosomal RNA
Source: RNAcentral